GACGAACGCUGGCGGCAUGCUUAACACAUGCAAGUCGAACGGAAAGGCCCGUCUUUUGUGGGGUACGCGAGUGGCGAACGGGAGAGUAACACGUGAGUAGCCUGACCUUGACUGUGGGCUAACUUCAGGAAACUGUGGCUAGUACCGGAUAGGAGCUCCUGCUGCAUGGGGGGGGUUGGAAAGUUUCGGCGGUGGGGGAUGGACUCGCGGCUUAUCAGCUUGUUGGUGGGGUAGUGGCUGACCAAGGCUUUGACGGGUAGCCGGCCGGAGAGGGUGACCGGCCACAUUGGGACGGAGAAACGGCCCAGACGCCUACGGGGGGCAGCAGUGGGGAAGAAUGCACAAUGGGCGGAAGCCGGAUGAAGCAACGCCGCGGGGGGGAGGAAGGCCUUCGGGGGGUAAACCGCUUUCGCUUGCGACGAAGCGGGAGUGACGGUAAUGGGUAAAGAAGCACCGGCUAACUACGUG
Molecule: ribosomal RNA, 468 nt
Filed under: uncultured bacterium
Lineage: Bacteria
Description: partial 16S ribosomal RNA
Rfam family: Bacterial small subunit ribosomal RNA
Source: RNAcentral